AAAAUGCAUGUUGGCUAAGGAUUUCAAGAUUAUGCACGAAACAUAAUAAAAAAGGACUGGCGUUAAUAGUAAAAGAAACUUUAAAAAAUUGCAAAAUCCUUAAAAACCAUCAUAGACAAAUUUGAAGUUUUUAAUGUAGGACUGCCACUGAAAUUCAGUCAUGUAUGAAAGUCAGAAAACGAAGUCUCGUCCUCAGUGAUACUAAAACCUCUAAAAGCCAGUGCUCACAGGUGGGUACCGAGUAACCAAUCAACGGGAGGAUACCCAGAUAGGGUCCAAGCUACCAUACGUAGCUCGGACACUCGCUCUUGUUACUCAAACAUUUUCCCUAUUUACUCGGCCACUCUCCCUUAUUACUUGGACACUCACCCUUGUUACUUGGACACUCACCUUAAUUACUCAAACAAUCGCCCUAAUUACUCAGACAGCCACUACAAGAUAAGAAUCCCGAGGCUGAGAUUACAAUCGUAG
This 471-nucleotide unclassified non-coding RNA is filed under the name Hevea brasiliensis (rubber tree). The record is from RNAcentral. Lineage: Eukaryota; Viridiplantae; Streptophyta; Magnoliopsida; Malpighiales; Euphorbiaceae.